RNAcentral lists this ribosomal RNA (254 nucleotides) under uncultured bacterium. RNAcentral's name for it is "partial 16S ribosomal RNA". It matches the Rfam family "Bacterial small subunit ribosomal RNA", at positions 524 to 776 of the family's 1533-position model. The record is from RNAcentral.
UACGGGGGGGGGCAAGCGUUGUUCGGAAUUACUGGGCGUAAAGGGCUCGUAGGUGGCCAACUAAGUCAUACGUGAAAUCCCUCGGCUUAACCGGGGAACUGCGUCUGAUACUGGAUGGCUUGAGAUUGGGAGAGGGAUGCGGAAUUCCAGGUGUAGCGGUGAAAUGCGUAGAUAUCUGGAGGAACACCGGUGGCGAAGGCGGCAUCCUGGACCGGCAUUGACGCUGAGGCGCGAAAGCUAGGGGAGCAAACGGG